GCUGUGGCCAGUGGUUAAGGCGAUGGACUGAAAUUCCCUUGGGGUCCCUCGCGUAAGUUCAAAACCUACCGGCUGCG
Trichonephila inaurata madagascariensis is the source of this 77-nucleotide non-coding RNA. NCBI's taxonomy places the organism in Eukaryota, Metazoa, Arthropoda, Arachnida, Araneae, Nephilidae. The record is from the annotation of a GenBank genome assembly.